GCGGACGUAGCUCAGUUGGUAGAGCAUCACCUUGCCAAGGUGAAUGUCGCGAGUUCAAAUCUCGUCGUCCGCUCCA
RNAcentral lists this transfer RNA (76 nucleotides) under marine actinobacterium MedAcidi-G2B. RNAcentral describes it as "tRNA-Gly". It matches the Rfam family "tRNA". From Rfam's summary of the family: Transfer RNA (tRNA) molecules are approximately 80 nucleotides in length. Their secondary structure includes four short double-helical elements and three loops (D, anti-codon, and T loops). RNAcentral also lists the same sequence under 2 other names. The record is from RNAcentral. Lineage: Bacteria; Bacillati; Actinomycetota; Actinomycetes.